GGGGGGGGAGCAGGAGGAGCGGCGGAGGUUGCCGAUCCCGGCUCGUGUUCUGAUCGCGUCACUGCAUGCACGGGACGAAUUCCACGGCGGUAAAGAUCUGUCACACCGUAUUUCUGAGAAUAUAUUUUACUCCUUGUCCCUUUGAUCUCUCUCUCUCUCUCUCAACAACUCUUUAGCCAAUUAACUUACACCUCCUGGCCACGCCUUGGAGGAUCCUUCGAUUCAUGCGUGUGAGAGUGAUUGAGAAUAGACGGUGACGUUGAGAAAAUAAUAAUGGUCACCUGAAGUUUAAUUAAUCAUUGAUGUUCAUUUUUGAAAAUGAUUUCAGUACCACAGCAUGGGUGAAAUGGUGCAGUUACAUUCUCCCCUCCGUUGUUGCUUCUACCUUGUUUCAUGUUUUUUUUCACCGUUUUCCCUGAACAAACUCAAAUUCUGCUGUCUGCAUCUUUAUCUUGUAGCAUUUCAUUCCUGUUUUCUCAGUCACUGCCUCAGUUUUCCUUCUGUCACUUUUAUUUCACCCCUUCAUCGGAAGACUUUCUCAUUACAAGGUUACAACCGUCUUCCAUGACUUAAGACUAUUCCAUGAAGAUGGUGUCUGCGUCGAGCCAUAGUGAAUACAGUUUGACCUCAGCCAUGUUUCCCUUCAACCUGAUGGAUGUUUGCAGCAUUGAGCAGCUGGUCUUCACUGCCAGCUGUGUCAGGAUAAGAAAAUCUACCGAAGCCAAAAGGCAGGUCCCUCUUUAACUCUGUCUGACUGAAGCAUCUAUUGAACAAAUGAAAAAUGCGGUUGUAUCAGUACCUUCAUCAUAUGUGCCCGUGCUGAAAUUGAUAAUUUCUGCAGUAUGCAGAUAGUGCUGUUUUUAUAUUGAUCUAUGUGUUGCAUGAAGUUUCCUCUUGCUUGUAGAAACUCAUUAGUCAAAUCACAAAUCAAAUACAUGUAAACCAUCUCUUUUCUUACUUCUUUCUAAAUGGGAAGACAAGUACAUGAUGUCAUUACUUUGUCUGAAUUAGAAAUUACAUCGUUUUUUGUCUUUACAAUUUGUAAUCAUAUUUUUUAAAACCUUCUUUUAACCCCUCCCCUUUCCUCCAGUAUUUUGUGUCUUCUUAGCACAAAAUGGAGGUGCCUCAUCUAGUUGUCCCUCUCCUGAGGUAUUGAAAGAAUCUGACCCUCUACCAGAAUCCUGCAAUUACCCUUAUGCCCCCCCCCCAGAUUUCCAUCAAGGCCCUCCCUCACUGCAUGGAAUGAUGGGAUAUCCCCACCCCACUGCAUCUGCAGGCCCCUGCAAACCCCUAACCUGGACCGCCUCUGAACUGGGCUCCCCCCC
Molecule: long non-coding RNA, 1325 nt
Organism: Anguilla anguilla (European eel)
Lineage: Eukaryota; Metazoa; Chordata; Actinopteri; Anguilliformes; Anguillidae
Exons: 3
Source: RefSeq, a predicted model, not a curated record